AUGGCUCCCCUGCGUUGCUGGAAUGUCCUAUCUUGGAACAUCAGGGGUCUUAACUCUGAGAAGAAGCAAUUGGCUUUAUCCAACGCCAUCAUUUCCAGUGGUUGUGCGGUAGUUUGUUUGCAGGAGACUAAAAUGCCUGACGUCUCUUUUGCGUUCCUUAAAACUUGUUUCCCCAAACAAUUUGAUCGUUUUGCGUUUGUUCCCUCUCGUGGAUCUUCCGGGGGUAUCCUUACAGUUUGGAAAAGCGCUUUAUUUACGGGCACAAUUAUAUUCUCUGAUGUGUUUGCGUUAGUGGUCAGUUUCGUUAGUACUCAAUCCUCACAAGUGUGGUCGCUCGCCAAUAUCUAUGGACUGUGUGAGGGUGAUGAUCGUGUGACAUUCACUUCUUGGCUUUACGACGUACACAUUCGCAAUGACCAUGACUGGCUAUGA
RNAcentral lists this ribosomal RNA (432 nucleotides) under Triticum aestivum (bread wheat). RNAcentral describes it as "partial small subunit ribosomal RNA". Lineage: Eukaryota; Viridiplantae; Streptophyta; Magnoliopsida; Poales; Poaceae. The record is from RNAcentral.